RNAcentral lists this ribosomal RNA (424 nucleotides) under uncultured prokaryote. RNAcentral's name for it is "bacterial SSU rRNA". It matches the Rfam family "Bacterial small subunit ribosomal RNA", at positions 355 to 796 of the family's 1533-position model. The record is from RNAcentral.
UGGGGAAUAUUGGACAAUGGGGGCAACCCUGAUCCAGCAAUGCCGCGUGAGUGAAGAAGGCCUUAGGGUUGUAAAACUCUUUCACCCGUGAAGAUGAUGACGGUAGCGGGAGAAGAAGCCCCGGCUAACUCCGUGCCAGCAGCCGCGGUAAUACGGAGGGGGCUAGCGUUGUUCGGAAUUACUGGGCGUAAAGCGCACGUAGGCGGCGUAUCAAGUCAGAGGUGAAAGGCCUGGGCUCAACCUGGGAACGGCCUUUGAGACUGGUAUGCUUGAGUUCGGGAGAGGGUAGUGGAAUUCCCAGUGUAGAGGUGAAAUUCGUAGAUAUUGGGAAGAACACCGGUGGCGAAGGCGGCUACCUGGCCCGAGACUGACGCUGAGGUGCGAAAGCGUGGGGAGCGAACAGGAUUAGAUACCCCCGUAGUCC